This is a long non-coding RNA of Orbicella faveolata, 758 nucleotides long. RefSeq lists it as uncharacterized. The record is from RefSeq and is a predicted model, not a curated record. Lineage: Eukaryota; Metazoa; Cnidaria; Anthozoa; Scleractinia; Merulinidae.
AACUAGCCAAUAGGUGGCAGUCAUUAUUCACAAUAACGAAUGGUAUAAAUUUGGCAUAGUCCGCGACAAAAACUUUAAAGUAGACCUAGGCAAGCGAGACUGAGCACGCAAACAAGAAAGAAGAAGAAUCAAAAAUUAGUUUCAACUUGCUGGAAGAAUCUCAACGUGAAAGAUGAAUGCUAUUGUAACAGCCAUCAUUUUGAGCCUUGCAGUGCUGAUGAAUAGUCCUAAAGAGGUCAAAAGCUCAGCUAUAGGACUGUAUGAAGGUCCUUACGACUGUUUCGAAAACUGCCAGCUUGGUUACGAUGACUGUCAUUACUCAUGCGCUUUACCGAGUGGAUGCGAGGAGCUGUGCACGACCCCCUUCAUAGGGUGCCUCUUGGAUUGUCCCUUAUAGAACUGGGGUAAACAAGCUACACAAGCCCGAACAAGCUCAGUACAGGACAGUUCGUUCAUCAUAUACGACUUCAAGCUUAAUAUUAUUUAUUCGUCUCUGGCUGUUACAUUCGUUGCUGUUGGAAUCUGAUUAGUAUCGAUUAACGGCAUACAUUAUUUAAUUAUAAGAAACCUUCAAAGCAUUUUCUGAGAAUAAUCCGCCUUUAUUCUGGCUUACAUUCUGGUUGUAAUUGAGCAACAUAUUUUAACAAACUAUUUCAGUUAGUACUCAAAUGACUGUAACCUUGGCAAGUUGUUUAUAAUUUUUUUGAACUCACCCAUUCGUACGUGGUAUAUAAUUAAACAGGUUCGAUAUGACACCA